GACGAACGCUGGCGGCGUGCUUAACACAUGCAAGUCGAACGGCAAGGCCCUGCUUUUGUGGGGUGCUCGAGUGGCGAACGGGUGAGUAACACGUGAGUAACCUGCCCUUGACUUUGGGAUAACUUCAGGAAACUGGGGGUAAUACCGGAUAGGAGCUCCUGCUGCAUGGGGGGGGUUGGAAAGUUUCGGCGGUUGGGGAUGGACUCGCGGGUUAUCAGCUUGUUGGUGGGGUAGUGGCUUACCAAGGCUUUGACGGGUAGCCGGCCUGAGAGGGUGACCGGCCACAUUGGGACUGAGAUACGGCCCAGACUCCUACGGGAGGCAGCAGUGGGGAAUAUUGCACAAUGGGCGGAAGCCUGAUGCAGCAACGCCGCGUGCGGGAUGACGGCCUUCGGGUUGUAAACCGCUUUCGCCUGUGACGAAGCGUGAGUGACGGUAAUGGGUAAAGAAGCACCGGCUAACUACGUG
Molecule: ribosomal RNA, 468 nt
Filed under: uncultured bacterium
Lineage: Bacteria
Description: partial 16S ribosomal RNA
Rfam family: Bacterial small subunit ribosomal RNA
Source: RNAcentral